CCCUUAGAUGUUCUGGGCCGCACGCGCGCUACACUGAUACAAGCAACAAGCGGUUCCUUGGCCGACAGGUCUGGGUAAUCUUGUGAAAUUGUAUCGUGAUAGGGCUUGACGAUUGUAAUUAUUUGUCACAAACGAGGAAUUCCUAGUAAGCGCAAGUCAUCAACUUGCACUGAUUACGUCCCUGCCCUUUGUACACACCGCCCGUCGCUCCUACCGAUUGAGUGAUUCGGUGAAUAAUUCGGACUGCAGCAAUGUUUGGAUCCCGAACGUUGCAGCGGAAAGUUUAGUGAACCUCAUCACUUAGAGGAAGGAGAAGUCGUAACA
This 324-nucleotide ribosomal RNA is filed under the name uncultured eukaryote. Its description in RNAcentral is "partial 18S ribosomal RNA". It matches the Rfam family "Eukaryotic small subunit ribosomal RNA", at positions 1470 to 1796 of the family's 1831-position model. The record is from RNAcentral.